RNAcentral lists this long non-coding RNA (634 nucleotides) under Apteryx rowi (Okarito brown kiwi). RNAcentral's name for it is "lncRNA (ENSARWG00000000689.1)". Lineage: Eukaryota; Metazoa; Chordata; Aves; Apterygiformes; Apterygidae. The record is from RNAcentral.
UUUACAGAUGGCAAUAACUUCCCAGCACUGAUGAAAGAGCAAAAAGAUUUAGCCUUAUGCUACAGCUGAGGAAUGUAAGGUGCAAAAAAAGAUCACUUAUUAGCUUAUUGAGACACUGGGCUGAGCUUGUGAGACAUGCUAGCCUGGAGUGCAGCAGUGAUGGAGCUCGGGCCACGUGGGCAGCAUCUCAUGGCACAGAGCUGUGACUCUCACUUCAGUUACCCAGUUUGUCCAAGAACCCAGGAGAGAAUGUGCAAAAAGCUAGUAAAAGCUGGUUUAAGAAACAAUAGUGGCCAGGAGAUGAUGGCAAUGUGUUGUGCUGAUGAGAAUAAUACAUCAACAGUGCUUAGGAAAGUGGGUAUGAUUUCAUCAGCUGUAGUGCAGCUACAAGCCAUUUCCCUAUGUUUUUCUUCUCUAAUGUGUUAUACUGUAAGAAACAAUAGCCAGCUACAAUGUACGCUUCCUCUUUUUUUGGUACUUGAAAGACAAGCUAUCUGAGAAGCAGCAGUACAGCUGGUCUAACUCAGCUUGGCCUAAUAGAACUGAGCCUGCUCGUGCUGUUUGCAGGGUGGUGAUGAUACAUGCAUAAAGAGAACUGUGUCUCUACCUGGGAAUAAAGUUGGUGCACUGGGCA